RNAcentral lists this transfer RNA (75 nucleotides) under Planctomycetaceae bacterium. Its description in RNAcentral is "tRNA-Pro". It matches the Rfam family "tRNA". Rfam says of the family: Transfer RNA (tRNA) molecules are approximately 80 nucleotides in length. Their secondary structure includes four short double-helical elements and three loops (D, anti-codon, and T loops). Lineage: Bacteria; Pseudomonadati; Planctomycetota; Planctomycetia; Planctomycetales; Planctomycetaceae. The record is from RNAcentral. RNAcentral also lists the same sequence under 1 other name.
CGGGGCGUAGCGCAGCCUGGCUAGCGCGCCUGCUUUGGGAGCAGGAGGUCCCCAGUUCGAAUCUGGGCGCCCCGA